Lycium barbarum (goji berry) is the source of this 6187-nucleotide long non-coding RNA. RefSeq lists it as uncharacterized. The transcript has 4 exons. NCBI's taxonomy places the organism in Eukaryota, Viridiplantae, Streptophyta, Magnoliopsida, Solanales, Solanaceae. The record is from RefSeq and is a predicted model, not a curated record.
AGAUACUUAUGAGCAUGCCUAUCUGAACAUGAAACCUAUUUAUAUUUUCUCUCAAAUUUCUGGUCAUAUUUCUUUCUUUUCUUUUUUUAAUAAAUUUUCCGCAAAAAAAAAAAAGGAAGAAGAAGAGACGCGUCUUUAAUUAAAAGAAAAACAAAAGACGAACAGUUACGUCUUCAGUGUUGUGUAUUGACUCCGUCUCUUCCUCUUCUUUCUUCCAGGCGAAGAUUGCUCUUCCUUCUUUCACGCUUCAUAUCUAUGGACCAUGUGUUCUUUACUGCUAUAACCUGCGUAGCAAAGCUAAAGUGAGAGUUCCAUGAGGCAAAUUUAUUUAUUAUUUAUUAUUUAUUUUUAUAAUCAAAACCUUCAGAAGGCAAAGCUUUUUCUUCGUUUUGUUGAAAUACAAAUUAUCUCCUGAUUGAGCAGCAAUUUACUUUGGCUGACUUACUAUAGAUGGGGAAUAUAGUAUGUUUUAUAUCGAUUCCUUUCUAUUUAGACCCACAUUUUAUUACAUGUAACAAUCUGUCUUUAAAAAAAGAAAAAGAAUAUGUGUGUUAUACCCCGCACUUUCAGAGCAUGAGCAUGACACGUACGUCACCAUAGUAAUGGAGGGUCGGAGACGUCCCAUGAUGCUUUGGAAGGUACAAGCAAUGUGAAGUAUGUAAAAAUGAAGUAAAGGAUGAAUUACGAUCCCGUAAGUCGUAAUCGGGAAAGACUAUUCUGAAACACAAAAACAUGGCCAUUAUCAUGUGUAGUAAAUGAUAAAUAUCAUGUACGGAGAGUUUCGGAAGAUCCGAGAUCAAGCAAAUUCAAGAAAAUAAGUUUGACGAAAAUUUGAGAAAUGUUGGACAAAUGUUUAGUCAACUUUGGAGGGGCUGCUACAGUGUCGCUACAGUACUGCCGACCCAACUUAUUAUAAAAGGGGUCAAAACCCCAUUUUUCAUCAUCAAAAUUGUCCAAACCUUUCCAGAAAUUUCAACAAAGGAAAAGGACUCUCAUAUCACCCAAAAGUGAGGAUUUUGAGUAAAAUUAAUUAAAGCUACGGAGUAUUAAUCGAGGUCCAAGCAACGUGUGGUGGUGAUUGUAGUAUUGUCUUGUGGCGGAUUGGCUUGGAUUCAAGGUGAAGGAGUGAAGAUAUAGUAUUAUUAUCAAGAUAAAGACUUGCGAGCCCGGACGAAUAAGCGUAGCUAAUAGGAGGUUGAACAGGUAGCCAGUCGGACAAUUCACAGCAGUAGGACAUCUCCCCACUGCAGCAGUCAGUACGCUCCAUUGAUCCGGAGCUACACCCUUUUUGGUAUGCUAUUCCGUUACGUACAUGCAUGGGUACGGCAGGGCCUUGUCCUGUCAUUUUUAUUUACAGAUUGUAUCCUAUAGAGGUCUGUAGACAGUGAUAUGUUGCCAUGGUAUUAUGCAGCCUCGUCGGCGUGUAUUUUAUUGUACAGUAUAUAUGUGUGGCGGUCAAAUCGGCUCACACUGUUACUUUCCGUAAUUAUGUUUAUAUGUAUGUGUUGGCCGUGAGUCCCCGGUACGGUGUCUUUUAUGUUAAAUGUUGGGAGGCAGUAUAGCAUAGUUACAGAUCGUAUAUGGGCCCAGGACAGUCAGUGGCAAGUAAAUGUAAGCACAGGAGUGCUUGGCCAGUAGUGGUCGGGCACUUGUUACGGCCCAUCGGUUUGGGUCGUGACAAUGUGCUUCGUUAAGUCAUUCCACUAAACUAAUCUUUAUUGAUUGAGCUUUUCCAGCCUUGGUUUGAAAACCUUAACAGUCCAGUUUGCAUAGUUCGUAGUCAUUGCUAGAGGAAAGAACUUGUGUUUACAUGGAUUCAUUAACUGUAGAUCUAAAAAUUCAUAAGAGUUGUGUAUCAAGAUACUUACUAAUAAGAAGUUAUCUAUCGAGGUAUCGGUUCCUGACUUACCCUUAUUUCGGAUAAGUUCCUGACUUUCCUAUGACGGGCUGUCUCUUUGAUCACAUUUUUUUCCCUGAACUUUGUAUACAUUAUGUUACUGCACUAGAAGAAUUUUACAUUCUGGAUUGGCUUUAUCCAAUAAAAAUUUGUAAUAUUUUAGUCUCUUUACUACCACACUAAAUGGUACAACUGCAAACAUCAUUAGUUUCAUGUCCAAGUAGGUGAACUAUUCUGCUGCCAAACUCAGAAGGUUUAGGUUGGUCAUGUGUUAAUACUUUGUUGAAUUUGGAGAAUUUUGGGUUUUAAAUUUUCAGAUGGUCACUAUUUAGCUUUAUUUAUGUUUGAUUGGAAAAGAAAAAUUGUAGAAGAGUUAUCUUCCUUUUCAGGGCCAUUCGGGUAUAUCAGUAGAUGAUACAUUGAAGAUCAUAACCUGCCGGUUGAUGAUUCUUUUGCCAGGGAACAACAGAAAAGGCUAGCUGCACUUCACAUGGAACCCAGCAAAGCCAGCCAGAAAAAAGUUUUGUAUCUAAGCAUCCAAUGGAUAAUCAUGAGAAGGAUUCAAAAAAAAACUUCUAGCUAUUGUAGGUAUCUCUACAAAUUGUGGCAACAAGAAAAAUAGAGAUUCGAUUUGGAAAGCAUGGAUGCCUACUGGUUUGGCUCUCUUUUCCCUUCCCUUUUUCUUAAUUUCUUUUGUUAGGCCUUGUGAAGCUAAAAUUCAAGCAACUCCACUAAGAUGCUGAAUAUAUACUUUAGCUCACUUUGUUGAUGCAAUCAUUGUCUGUUGAACACAUUUAGCCUUGAUUGUUGUUGAAUUUCCUAGCAGCAUCAUUCGUCUUGUCUUAAUCAGAAGUAUCUGCAGUAUAACUGCAAUAAUGAUGAAUUAACUUUUGAAUAACUGAUUUCAUUCUAAAUCUAUAAGCUAUUUUUCCAGGUGUUGCGCUUAAAAAAUUAGAGGAGGAGAAAGGUAUCGUAAUACAGAUGAAUCAUUUCAUUUAGAUGAAGCUACAAGUAAUAUAUCUUAUGUUUUGACUUUCAGUUUAAAGUGAAUAAAGAUGCAAAUUUAACUAAUAUACAUUGAUAGUGUAAAAGAUUUUUCGUUGUCAGUGUAGUUUUGCUAGAUAUAUUAGAUAAUUUACCCGUUAUAAUAGCUUAUGGUGGAAUCAUGAAGAAAUUUUAAAUAGUAAAGAUUGCUUUUGUGUUCCAAAUUAUUUCGACAUAUCUUUGUUUUCUUUAUUAGUGUGAAUUAGAAAAAUCUUUAAUUAGCCCUAAUCUAGAUAUUUAUAUAAAGUUGAUCUAUAGCCUAGGUUACAUGGCACUUCGACAAAUCAGAAAACUAAUUUAUCCUUUUUUUCUUUUGUUUUGUUAUUUGUUUGCUUAUUGUUUUGUGCUUUUCCCAUUUUCCCGGAUUCUUUAUUUAUCAUUGCAAUAGAGAUUGGCAAUAAGAGUUGUGAGUGUUAAAAUAAACAAUCGUAUCCAUUAUGAUUCUCAAGUUCUGGUGAUAGUGGUGGAUUAAUUUUGAGGUUAAUUGUCAUCGUUUCCCUCCCCAUUAAGCUUUAAGCACCAUUUCUUUGUGAUAAAAAAACGGAUAGAGGAACAACGAAACUAACUAGGAAUUCAAAAGGGACCAGGAAAUUAAAGGAUAAAUAAGUUGCCACAAAGAGAAAUACCAAUUGGCAACUAAGGUUCUAUAUAACCAAGACCUCCAAUUGAGUAAUCACAAGCACCAAACUUUUUAAGAAGAUCAAAAGGGAUUGAUUUCCCAAUUAACCACCUUCUCAACAAUUCAAACAACCAAAAGCUUCACAAGCUCUCAAACACUCAAUUCUAGAGUUUACAAGUUUUCAAUAUCUCUCAUAAAAAUAAUCUAAGUCUUCCAUGAAGAAGACGAGAACUACUUAUACUAUGCUAGAAAUAAAAGAUAGCAAAAUGACAUAAACACCUUUAAUGAGACAAGGGUCUUAUUUGGCUAUUCUUCUUCCUUCAAAAUCUUGAAAUCUCCUUUGCAAAAAUAGCCAACUCUUCAUCUUUUAGCCAUUGUGGUGACUUCCCAUUUCCUCUUCUUCUCCCAAAUCUUCAUCAACAAAUGGACUUAGGAUCUAAGGUGCUCAUCAAAAGUAUACUCAAGAGCCUCCCGCUUCAUGAAUAGGCUUUGCAAGUGUUGUAGUUCCCCGACUUGGCUCCUUGUAAAUGGCCUUGAGGCAAGUGGGCAUGCAUCAUUCUCCCCAUCUUGAAGAGAAUUUGUCCUCAAAUUUCAUGGCUCAUCACUUUCCAUUACCAUGGGAGAUAGGUCACAAAUGUUGAAGGUGUUGUGAACUUGAUAAUCCGGAGGGAGAUCAAUUUUGUAGGCAUUAUCAUUAAGCCUCUCAAGGACUUCAAAGGGACCAUCCCCACGCGGCAUCAACUUUGUCUUCCUCUUGUUUGGGAACCUUUCUUUUCGGAAGUGCACCCACAACCAAUCUCCUGAUUCAAGGACCACCCUUUUUCUCCCUUGGUUUGCCCUUUUCACAAUCUUUUGAUUCUUCUUUUCAAGUUGGAGCCUUGCCUUUUCAUGGAUCUUCUUCAUAGCUUCAGCUCUCUUGUUAUCAUCUAUACUCAAUACCAUAUCUUGAGACAAAGGCGUUAGAUCCAAGGGGGUUAGGGGGUUAAAACCAUACAACACCUCAAAGGGUGACAUGCCAAUAAUGUAUGAGUAACUCUAUUAUAUACAAAUUCUACUAAAGGCAAUUGGUCUUCCCAAGAGGCUAGCUUCCCUUUUACCGUGGCCCGAAACAUAGAACCUAAAGUCCUAUUGACAACUUCGGUUUGGCCAUCAGUUUGUGGGUGGCAAGAGGUGGAAAACAACAACUUCAUUCCAAGCCUACCCCACAAUUCUUUCCAAAAGUGGCUAAGGAACUUGGAAUCCCUAUCGCUCACAAUUUUCUUGGGAAUGCCAUGCAAUUUAACCAUUUUCAACAAACAAGGAAGCAAUAUGGGGAGCAUCAUCAACCUUAUGGCAAGCAAUGAAAUGGGCCAUUUUCGAAAAACGAUCAACAACAACAAAGAUGCUAUCUUUCCCCCUUUUUGUCCUAGGCAAUCCCAUCAUAAAGUCCAUGGAAAUGUCAAACCAAGGUUGUUGAGGGAUGGGAAGGGGAGUGUACAAGCCAUGGGGUUGGAGCCUAGAUUUAGUUUUUCGGCAUUCAAGGCAUUGGCCACAAAUUCGGGCCACAUCCCGCCGCAUAUGAGGCCAAUAGAAUUGCUCCUCAAGAAUGCCCAUUGCCUUGUCAAUCCCAAAGUGUCCCAUCAAUCCCCCAUUGUGUGCCGCCCUUACAAAUAACUCCCUCCAAGAGCUCAUGGGCACACAUAGUCGCUUGUUCUUGAACAAGAAACUAUCAAACUUAGAAUAGGGAGUAGAAGAUCUAUCCCUAAGAUACCUUUCCCUUUCCCAUUCCCAUUCUUCGCAUUCUAGAAAGAUUUGUGCAAAGAUGGGGUCCUCGGGAUACAAUGUCUUGAAGCUCUCAAAACCCACCAAUUUGGAAGACAAAGUAUUGAUCAAAACAUGUUUUGAUCAAUACUUAAGAAUUGGUGUUUCUGGUGUUUCUUUUUAUGAUAAUUUAGAGGUCUUAGUUUUAUAUAACUUUGGUUGCUAAAUUGAAUCUUAAGUUGUGUCAAAUUAUCUAUCUUUUCUUUUCCUUUUGUUUGUCUUCUUAAUUUCUCAUUUCCGCGUAUCCGUUAUUGUAUCAAUUUGGGAUGCAUAUAAUUAUCACAACAUUGAGCAUUUAUAAGUUUCCUAUUGUAAUUCUGAGACUCUCAAGUUCAAGAAUAAACAAAUAGCUUACAGGUGCAAGUGAAAAUGCUAUAAUUUUGGAAGUCCACCAGAAAUAAUGUUAUUGAUUGAAGAUGAACGGAGGUCCAAGCAUUCUAGGUUGAGAAGUAAGAAGCAUAGGCGAUGCCAAUGUGAUGCCCAAGUGCAAGUCAAAAUGCUAUAAUUUUGGAAGUCCACCAGAAAUAAUGUUACUGAUUGAAGAUGAACGGAGGUCCAAGCAUUCUAGGUUGAGAAGUAAGCAGCACAGACGGUGCCAAUGUGUUGCCCAAGAUAGUACUUCAUUACAUAGAAUAAUAUAUCAUUGCACCUUAUCCAACAACAUUAACUUUCUUUAUAGCAGACAUAUUUUUAAGGGUAUAGUUCAACCAUUGUCCUCUGUUACUAAGUUGGCUUUAGAUUCAAAGACAUAGCUAUACCUUUUUACUGGUCAACAACAUAACUGUACUUAAUUCUUGCUCUUAUUGAUAUUGUCUCUAUAAAACUUA